UAGAGGUUCGAAGGCGAUCAGAUACCGCCCUAGUUCUAACCAUAAACGAUGCCAGCUAGCGAUCCGCAGUUGUUUAUUUUUACGACUCUGCGGGAAGCUUCCGGGAAACCAAAGCUUUUGGGUUCCGGGGGAAGUAUGGUUGCAAAGCUGAAACUUAAAGGAAUUGACGGAAGGGCACCACCAGGAGUGGAGCCUGCGGCUUAAUUUGACUCAACACGGGAAAUCUCACCAGGCCCGGACACUGGAAGGAUUGACAGAUUGAGAGCUCUUUCUCGAUUCGGUGGGUGGUGGUGCAUGGCCGUUCUUAGUUGGUGGAGUGAUUUGUCUGGUUAAUUCCGAUAACGAACGAGACUCUGUCCUGCUAAAUAGAGUUAACGUCAUUUUUUUUGCGUUAACUUUUCUUCUUAGAGGGACUGGUGGCGUCUAGCCACACGAGAUUGAGCAAUAACAGGUCUGUGAUGCCCUUAGAUGUUCUGGGCUGCACGCGCGCUACACUGAAGGGAUCAGCGUGUUUUCCCUGGCCGAGAGGUUCGGGUAACCCGUUGAACCCCCUUCGUGGUAGGGAUCGGGGCUUGCAAUUAUUCCCCGUGAACCAGGAAUUCCCAGUAAGCGUAAGUCAUAAGCUUACGUUGAUUACGUCCCUGCCCUUUGUACACACCGCCCGUCGCUACUACCGAUUGAACGUUUUAGUGAGGUAUUU
Molecule: ribosomal RNA, 700 nt
Filed under: Lepeophtheirus salmonis (salmon louse)
Lineage: Eukaryota; Metazoa; Arthropoda; Copepoda; Siphonostomatoida; Caligidae
Description: SSU rRNA
Rfam family: Eukaryotic small subunit ribosomal RNA
Source: RNAcentral